CAACAGGGAUUGCCCUAGUAACGGCGAGUGAAGCGGCAACAGCUCAAAUUUGAAAUCUGGCCUCGGCCCGAGUUGUAAUUUGCAGAGGAUGCUUUUGGCGCGGUGCCUUCCGAGUUCCCUGGAACGGGACGCCACAGAGGGUGAGAGCCCCGUAUGGUUGGACACCAAGCCUGUGUAAAGCUCCUUCGACGAGUCGAGUAGUUUGGGAAUGCUGCUCAAAAUGGGAGGUAAAUCUCUUCUAAAGCUAAAUACCGGCCAGAGACCGAUAGCGCACAAGUAGAGUGAUCGAAAGAUGAAAAGCACCUUGAAAAGGGGGUUAAACAGUACGUGAAAUUGUUGAAAGGGAAGCGCUUGUGACCAGACUUGCGCCUGGCGGCUCAUCCGGGGUUCUCUCCGGUGCACUCCGCCAGGCUCAGGCCAGCAUCGGUUCUGGCGGGGGGAUAAGAUCGGCGGGAACGUAGCACCCUCCGGGGUGUGUUAUAGCCCGCCGAACGAUACCCUCGCGGGGACCGAGGUUCGCGCUCCGCAAGGAUGCUGGCGUAAUGGUCAUCAGCGACCCGUCUGAAACACGGACCAAGGAGUCGUCCAUUAUAGCGAGCGUUUGGGUGUAAAACCCGCACGCGUAAUGAAAGUGAAAUUAGGUGAGAGCUUCGGCGCAUCAUCGACCGAUCCUGAUGUUCUCGGAAGGAUUUGAGUAAGAGUUAUAACGGACGGACCCGAAAGACAGUGAACUAUGCUUGUAUAGGGUGAAGCCAGAGGAAACUCUGGUGGAGGCUCGCAGCGGUUCUGACGUGCAAAUCGAUCGUCAAAUAUGAGCAUGGGGGCGAAAGACUAAUCGA
This 839-nucleotide ribosomal RNA is filed under the name Stegonsporium protopyriforme. RNAcentral describes it as "LSU rRNA". It matches the Rfam family "Eukaryotic large subunit ribosomal RNA", at positions 66 to 938 of the family's 3401-position model. Lineage: Eukaryota; Fungi; Ascomycota; Sordariomycetes; Diaporthales; Stilbosporaceae. The record is from RNAcentral.